RNAcentral lists this long non-coding RNA (316 nucleotides) under Trifolium pratense (red clover). RNAcentral describes it as "long non-coding RNA (TPRA_LNC001169)". The record is from RNAcentral. Lineage: Eukaryota; Viridiplantae; Streptophyta; Magnoliopsida; Fabales; Fabaceae.
CUGAAAGUGGAUGGUGUUGCCCUGGUGGCGGAUAUGGUUGCUCUGCCAUUUGUUGGGGGGCAAAGGGUGGUCCAUAAGGCUGAUGUCCUGUCAUUUGAGGUUAAGGUCCAUAACGUUGAUGUCCUGUCAUUUGAGGUGAAGGUCCAUAAGGUUGAUGUCCUGACAUUUGAGGUGAAGGUCCAUUUAGUGUAUAAGGAUUUGUAGUUGUUUGAGAAGAUACCCUUUGCACAUGAGAAGGAUGUUGGUAUUGGGGGUGGUGAAGCUGCCCUGUUGAAUGAGAAGGUCCAGCUGUUGGUAUCCGCGGCCCAUUUGUUGG